CCUACGGGAGGCUGCAGUGGGGAAUAUUGGACAAUGGGGGGAACCCUGAUCCAGCCAUGCCGCGUGUGUGAAGAAGGCCCUCGGGUUGUAAAGCACUUUCAGUGAGUAAGAACGCCUGGUGGUUAAUACCCAUCAGGAAAGACAUCACUCACAGAAGAAGCACCGGCUAACUCCGUGCCAGCAGCCGCGGUAAUACGGAGGGUGCGAGCGUUAAUCGGAAUUACUGGGCGUAAAGCGCGCGUAGGUGGCUUGAUAAGCCGGUUGUGAAAGCCCCGGGCUCAACCUGGGAACGGCAUCCGGAACUGUCAAGCUAGAGUGCAGGAGAGGAAGGUAGAAUUCCCGGUGUAGCGGUGAAAUGCGUAGAGAUCGGGAGGAAUACCAGUGGCGAAGGCGGCCUUCUGGACUGACACUGACACUGAGGUGCGAAAGCGUGGGUAGCAAACAGGAUUAGAUACCCUGGUAGUC
Molecule: ribosomal RNA, 465 nt
Filed under: Vreelandella stevensii
Lineage: Bacteria; Pseudomonadati; Pseudomonadota; Gammaproteobacteria; Oceanospirillales; Halomonadaceae
Description: partial 16S ribosomal RNA
Rfam family: Bacterial small subunit ribosomal RNA
Source: RNAcentral